RNAcentral lists this unclassified non-coding RNA (2019 nucleotides) under Hevea brasiliensis (rubber tree). Lineage: Eukaryota; Viridiplantae; Streptophyta; Magnoliopsida; Malpighiales; Euphorbiaceae. The record is from RNAcentral.
CAAGUCAUAAUGGAAAAAAGGUUAGUUGGAACCUUGUGUGCCCACACUAAAUUUUCAAUUUGUUUCGUGAAUUCAAAUCUUUUUGUUGGCAAAAAAAUAUGCAUUUUGAAAAGAGGAUGCAAUAGUCGCUGUUGACAUUCUAACAAACGUUAAUUCAAUUCAGAUAAACCUCAAAUGAUCAUCAAAAUUUGUUCAUUAUUUCUAUCCCAAAUUCCUCUGGCUAUAUCCAUAUGCUUAUUGAGUGCGCUCUCAAUCUCAAAUUGAAAGCAGAGACACAUGACAUUUGAGUAUACGAGAUAGAAGAAGCCAAAAAAGAAAAUCUAAUCAUUGAAACAUCUGUAUGCUCACAAUUCACCAUCCCAAAGUUCUUCCACUGUCCUGUAAACGCCGUAAGUCUCAUCUACAAAUCCACUGCCUAUUGUUAGCCUCAUCUGCAUGAUUAAAAUAAUUGUGUCAAUCAACUAAGGUAGAAAUGAAUUAAUUUCACCAAAAAAACCCCAUACCUCUAAAAGAUUCCAACAAUUAUCUAGUGGUUUUAUGAAACAAUUGAACUUGCUGACAGUACAGAAAGAACUACCAAUACUCGCCUGCUCAAUUUCAGUAAAUUUGGCAAACAAAUCGUCAGGAAUAGACCAGUCAAAAACAUCGAAGUUUUCCUUGAUCCUUGCCUUAUUCGUGCUCUUAGGCACUACACUGUGACCCAUUUGAAGUCCCCAUCGCACAGCAACUUGUGCAGGGGUCUUGCCUAAUUUCUCAGCAACUGUAGUGAGAAUAGGAUUCUUGAGAACCUGAGUCUUGACAGUUCCUGUUCCUGGGGAACCUAGUGGCGAAUGCCCCCGAAGAAAAACACACAACAAUUCUUAUUUGGAUGAUCACUCAAUUGGCGGUGUUAAGGAAUAGGCACAUGCGCGCGCACAUAUAUUUUCCAUCUUUCUGAAAGCGGUUGGCAGAACUCAUCUUUUUUCAUUCACAACAAAUCUACCAGAAGCUACUUUACACAACAGAAGUAACUCGAGCAUAUAAAGUAAAAACAAACCACCUCUGUUUUGAAUGCUCAAACUUAAAUGAAUUCCCUUGGAUUUACAGUAUUCAUGAAGCUUUGGCUGCUGCCAUACGGGGUGAAUCUCCACUUGGUUGACAGCAGGAGUAAACGAGCAACAGCCAGCAGAUCUUCAAGCUUCUUUGUAGAGAAAUUACUAACUCCAAUAGCUCGAGCCUUGCCAGAAUCAAACAAUGCUUCCAUUGCUCGCCAUGUGCUGGGUAUAUCAGGGUGUGUAAGGUUCUCGGGCUUAAAACCAACCGACCCUUUCUUCAUGCUGACUGGCCAGUGAAUCUUAUAAUAAUAAAAAAACAAAACAAGACAAAACAAAACUUUUGGUAACUAUAAAUGUUAUGAAUAACAAAAAAAGAACGCUUGUAUGACUCUCAAAUUUCCCAUUUCUUAGAAUUUCAAGCUGACAACAAAUCCAUACCAAGAAAAAUAAUUCAAACUUCAAAGAAUGAAAAAUGAGUACUGGUUAGCAAGGGCGUAUCAAGCAAAAAAUAAGUUAUGAUUGCGAUGAACAUACCAGAUACAGAUCUACAUAAUCGAGUUGCAAGUCCUGCAGAGUUCUAUUUAGUGCUACGGGUACAUCUUCUGGUGCAUGUUCAGUACACCAGAGUUUGGAGGUGAUCCACAACUCCUCACGCUUCACUACGCCAUCAUCAAACAGCUUCUUCAAUGCCGAACCAACCUCCUUCUUAUUGCCAUAAACUGCAGCACAAUCUAUGUGUCUAUAUCCAACCUUAACGGCAGCAGUAACAGCAUCACCAACAACACCAGGGGAAGACUGCCAAGUACCCAGCCCAACAGAAGGGAUUUUGGCUCCGGUGUUCAACUGAAAGAAACGAAUUGCAUUGGCCAUUUCUUUCAAAAACAAACACUUUGCAAAUCAAGAUUUGAGAGAAAAUAAGCAAUGAGUGAUGUAUUUAUAGCACGAAAUGCCAAGGGCAAAGCAAAGGAUCUUUAAAAUUCUAAAA